AGCAGCCGCGGUAAUUCCAGCUCCAAUAGCGUAUAUUAAAGUUGUUGCAGUUAAAAAGCUCGUAGUUGAAUUUCGAGACCGGUUUACUGGUCGUGCUUUUGUACGUACUGGUAUUAUUGGUUUCUCCUUUCUGACGAAUCUUAAUGCCAUUAAUUUGGUGUUUUGGGGAAUCAGGACUGUUACUUUGAAAAAAUUAGAGUGUUUAAAGCAGGCUCACGCUUGAAUACAUUAGCAUGGAAUAACGGAAUAGGACGUUUGAUUCUAUUUUGUUGGUUUCUAGGAUCGACGUAAUGAUUAAUAGGGAUAGUUGGGGGCAUUAGUAUUCAAUUGUCAGAGGUGAAAUUCUUGGAUUUAUUGAAGACUAACUACUGCGAAAGCAUUUGCCAAGGAUGUUUUCAUUAAUCAAGAACGAAAGUUAGGGGAUCGAAGACGAUCAGAUACCGUCGUAGUCUUAACCAUAAACUAUGCCGACUAGGGAUCGGAUGGUGUUAAUUUUUAAUGUACUCAUUCGGCGCCUUAC
Molecule: ribosomal RNA, 520 nt
Filed under: uncultured Glomus
Lineage: Eukaryota; Fungi; Glomeromycota; Glomeromycetes; Glomerales; Glomeraceae
Description: SSU rRNA
Rfam family: Eukaryotic small subunit ribosomal RNA
Source: RNAcentral